AUUGAUUAUCUCUCCCAGACCAUUCACACCCACUUCUCUCUGGUAUUUGGUAAAAGUUAGGGUUUCUUAUUUGAUGUCUGUGGUGUUUGAAGAUCAUUCGUCUCAACUGCGAAGAUCUGAUUGGCUUGUUACUGAUCUCGCUUGUGAGAUAUGUGAUUUUGCUGUUAGUGUUGCCUGAAAGAUAUUGAUCCUGUGUAAAUCAGGUUGUAUAUUUUUUUGUUUUCUUUCUGUCUUUGUAUUCAUAGAUCAACUGAUUGGUAAUCAGUAGAUCUAAAUGGUUGUUCAUUAGAUCUUACUUCGUGUAAGGUCAAGGGUACUGGUUUGGGGUUUUUGGUUUGGGUUAAAUAAUAAAGAUUUUGUCACCGUUUUGUCGCU
This 375-nucleotide long non-coding RNA is filed under the name Helianthus annuus (common sunflower). RNAcentral's name for it is "hypothetical non coding rna". The record is from RNAcentral. Lineage: Eukaryota; Viridiplantae; Streptophyta; Magnoliopsida; Asterales; Asteraceae.